This 880-nucleotide ribosomal RNA is filed under the name uncultured fungus. RNAcentral's name for it is "eukaryotic LSU rRNA". The stretch from base 519 to 880 matches the Rfam family "Eukaryotic large subunit ribosomal RNA", at positions 1 to 356 of the family's 3401-position model. Lineage: Eukaryota; Fungi. The record is from RNAcentral.
GUCGAGCUUGCUCACGGGCUUUCUAUCAUAUCCAUAACACCUGUGCACUUGUUGGAUGUCUAGAGACGUAAAGUCGACAGUCAUCCACUUACACUAAACAAUAAUGUAACAAAUGUAGUCUUAUUAUAACAAAAUAAAACUUUCAACAACGGAUCUCUUGGCUCUCGCAUCGAUGAAGAACGCAGCGAAAUGCGAUAAGUAAUGUGAAUUGCAGAAUUCAGUGAAUCAUCGAAUCUUUGAACGCACCUUGCGCUCCUUGGUAUUCCGAGGAGCAUGCCUGUUUGAGUGUCAUGAAAACCCUCAACCUUAGGUUGGUUAUUUGACCUUUCUUUGGCUUGGAUUUGGACGUUUGCCGAUGUCAAGUCGGCUCGUCUUAAAAGUAAUAGCUGGAUCUGUCUCGCGACAUGGUUUGACUUGGCGUAAUAAGUAUUUCGCUAAGGACAUCUUCGGAUGGCCCUGUUGCAGGACUAAAGACCGCUUUCUAAUCCAUUGAUCUUCGGAUUAAUAUUCAUAACAUCUGGCCUCAAAUCAGGUAGGACUACCCGCUGAACUUAAGCAUAUCAAUAAGCGGAGGAAAAGAAACUAACAAGGAUUCCCCUAGUAACGGCGAGUGAAGCGGGAAGAGCUCAAAUUUGAAAUCUGGUAGCCUUCGGUUGCCCGAGUUGUAAUCUAGAGAAGUGUUUUCCGCGUUGGCCCAUGUACAAGUCCCUUGGAACAGGGCGUCAUAGAGGGUGAGAAUCCCGUCCUUGACAUGGACCCCCAAUGCUUUGUGAUACACUUUCAACGAGUCGAGUUGUUUGGGAAUGCAGCUCAAAAUGGGUGGUGAAUUCCAUCUAAAGCUAAAUAUUGGCGAGAGACCGAUAGCGAACAAGUACCGUGA